Neopelma chrysocephalum (saffron-crested tyrant-manakin) is the source of this 395-nucleotide long non-coding RNA. RefSeq lists it as uncharacterized. NCBI's taxonomy places the organism in Eukaryota, Metazoa, Chordata, Aves, Passeriformes, Pipridae. The record is from RefSeq and is a predicted model, not a curated record. The transcript is spliced from 3 exons.
UCUCUAAAUUUCCUGGGUCUCUGGGAAUGUAUUUGACUCAAAUACGAGAUGGGACCAGGAGUUUUGAGGAGCGUAGUGUGGACAUGAGAAACAUGAGUUACUUAUAACAAUAGAAAUGUUGUGGAUUAUUAGAAGAUGUAGUGUUAAGCAACUUGAUGACCUGACAACUGAAUAGAAGUUGGCUAAAACAUGUGAUAAUCUUUCACUGUAAUGUACUUGCAUGUUAACAAUGAUUGAUGUAGCUCAGGUCCUUAAUUCCCUUGGAUCCAAAUGUGUUUUCUAAAGCUGUGUCUUACCUUUGGGAACGCCUGAAAUGCCCAUCUCUCUCCGACUUCUGCUGACCGGCUCUGCGUUAUGAGCAGCUCUUUUUCCCGGCUCAAGGAAACCAUAAAAAC